Molecule: ribosomal RNA, 253 nt
Filed under: uncultured bacterium
Lineage: Bacteria
Description: partial 16S ribosomal RNA
Rfam family: Bacterial small subunit ribosomal RNA
Source: RNAcentral
UACGGAGGGUGCGAGCGUUGUCCGGAAUCACUGGGCGUAAAGGGCGCGUAGGCGGCUUGACAAGUCACUUGUGAAAUCUCCGGGCUUAACUCGGAACGGCCAAGUGAAACUGUCAUGCUAGAGUGCAGAAGGGGCAAUCGGAAUUCUUGGUGUAGCGGUGAAAUGCGUAGAUAUCAAGAGGAACACCUGAGGUGAAGACGGGUUGCUGGGCUGACACUGACGCUGAGGCGCGAAAGCCAGGGGAGCAAACGGG